GGUAAUAGCUCAAUGGUAGAGCUGCAUGCUUAGCAUGCACAAGGUCCUGGGUUCAAUCCCCAGUAUCUCCA
RNAcentral lists this transfer RNA (71 nucleotides) under Camelus bactrianus (Bactrian camel). It matches the Rfam family "tRNA". From Rfam's summary of the family: Transfer RNA (tRNA) molecules are approximately 80 nucleotides in length. Their secondary structure includes four short double-helical elements and three loops (D, anti-codon, and T loops). The record is from Rfam by way of RNAcentral. Lineage: Eukaryota; Metazoa; Chordata; Mammalia; Artiodactyla; Camelidae. RNAcentral also lists the same sequence under 2 other names.